This 1424-nucleotide long non-coding RNA is filed under the name Monodelphis domestica (gray short-tailed opossum). RNAcentral's name for it is "lncRNA (ENSMODG00000037390.1)". Lineage: Eukaryota; Metazoa; Chordata; Mammalia; Didelphimorphia; Didelphidae. The record is from RNAcentral.
NNNNNNNNNNNNNNNNNNNUGGCCCCUGUCCCGGGCAGCGUAGCCCGUGCCGCCCGCCCCUCGCCCUGCGGCCGGCCCUCGCUCCUGGCCUCUGUCCCGGGCAGCGUAGCCCGUGCCGCCCGCCCCUCGCCCUGCGGCUGCCCCUCGCUCCUGGCCCCUGUCCCGGGCAGCGUAGCCCGUGCCGCCCGCCCCUCGCCCUGCGGCCGGCCCUCGCUCCUGGCCUCUGUCCCGGGCAGCGUAGCCCGUGCCGCCCGCCCCUCGCCCUGCGGCCGGCCCUCGCUCCUGGCCCCUGUCCCGGGCAGCGUGGCCCUCGCCCUGCGGCCGGCCCUCGCUCCUGGCCCCUGUCCCGGGCAGCGUGGCCCUCGCCCUGCGGCCGGCCCUCGCUCCUGGCCCCUGUCCCGGGCAGCGUAGCCCGUGCCGCCCGCCCCUCGCCCUGCGGCCAGCCCUCGCCCUGCGGCCGGCCCUCACUCCUGGCCCCUGUCCCGGGCAGCGUAGCCCGUGCCGCCCGCCCCUCGCCCUGCGGCCGGCCCUCGCUCCUGGCCUCUGUCCCGGGCAGCGUAGCCCGUGCCGCCCGCCCCUCGCCCUGCGGCCGGCCCUCGCUCCUGGCCUCUGUCCCGGGCAGCGUAGCCCGUGCCGCCCGCCCCUCGCCCUGCGGCCGGCCCUCGCUCCUGGCCCCUGUCCCGGGCAGCGUGGCCCGUGCCGCCCGCCCCUCGCCCUGCGGCCGCCCCUCGCUCCUGGCCCCUGUCCCGGGCAGCGUGGCCCCUGCCGCCGUCCGGGGAUCGUUUUGGGGAGUCCCGCUGCCGUUCCCUGCUUGCUCCUCGCCUGCCUUACAGACCUGCGGAGUUGGAAGGGCCUCCGACGGGCUCUCGGCUCGGCUCUGCCCAGCCGGUUCCCCCUCUGCUCCCCUCCCGGGAGCCUCGUUCCGCCUCUGGACACCAAAUGGUAGCCCCGACCCUUCCUCUGCAGCUCUGGGUCGGCCCCUGCCCCGCAGGGCAUCUCGGUGCGCCAAAUACCCGGCUCGGUGGGCCUUCGAGUCUGCCCAGGGCGGCCCUCUUUGUCUGGGCUCCACAGGCCAGGGAAGACGAUGCUUCCCCUCCCCCCAGCUUCAGGCCCAGGCAGCCCCCUCAGCCCUGGGGGAGCUCCGGAGAGAGCAGCCCGCGGCCCUGGCCAGCCUCUUCUAGCUCCGGGGAGACCCGGAAGGCAGGCGGCCACCACCGCGUGGAGUGCGGGGCCGGGAGGGAGGGAGGGAAGGGCUCUCGGGGGGCCCCCCAAACACGGGGGCCGGCAGGGCUUCUUGCAGCUCUCCUUCCCCGGCCUGGCUGUAAUUGGCCAUUAGCCCCAGGAGGAGCAGAUGGGAUGAUGGGCCGGGGGGGGCAGCGGGCAGCUCUUGAUGGUCACCUCCUGGGGCUAAGAGGCCUGUUAGC